AUGGCUGCGUCCGCCCCUCUCGCCAGGGUCGCGCUCCUCCUGCUCCUCCUCCAUGCCGCCCACCAUGCUGCCCAUGGAGGAGCCGUGGCCAGGCUUGCUGGCACGGGCGGAGCGAGGAUGGCAUCACCGGAGGGGUAUGCGCCGGUGCAGACCGCGGUGUACCGGCCGGCGGCAUCGGAGGCGUUCGAGCCGUUCCAGCUGUGCAUGGGGUGCCGGUGCUGCCCGGCGGGGAACAACGGCUCGUCAUGCGUGGACACCCAGUGCUGCUACGGCAUCAACUGCAACCUCCCCGGCAAGCCGUUCGGGACCUGCGCCUUCACCCCACGCACCUGCGGCUGCGGCGCCAACAACUGCACGGCUGCACCCGCCCCGCCUUCGAGCUAG
Molecule: ribosomal RNA, 384 nt
Filed under: Triticum aestivum (bread wheat)
Lineage: Eukaryota; Viridiplantae; Streptophyta; Magnoliopsida; Poales; Poaceae
Description: partial small subunit ribosomal RNA
Source: RNAcentral